AUUGAACGCUGGCGGCAUGCUUUACACAUGCAAGUCAAACGGCAGCGCGGGCUUCGGCCUGGCGGCGAGUGGCGAACGGGUGAGUAAUGCAUCGGAACGUGCCCAGUAGUGGGGGAUAGCCCGGCGAAAGCCGGAUUAAUACCGCAUACGACCUGAGGGUGAAAGCGGGGGACCGAAAGGCCUCGCGCUAUUGGAGCGGCCGAUGUCGGAUUAGCUAGUUGGUGGGGUAAAGGCUUACCAAGGCGCCGAUCCGUAGCUGGUCUGGGAGGGCGACCAGCCACACUGGGACUGAGACACGGCCCAGACUCCUACGGGAGGCAGCAGUGGGGAAUUUUGGACAAUGGGGGCAACCCUGAUCCAGCCAUGCCGCGUGCGGGAAGAAGGCCUUCGGGUUGUAAACCGCUUUUGUUCGGGAAGAAAUCCUCUGGGCUAAUACCCCGGGGGGAUGACGGUACCGGAAGAAUAAGCACCGGCUAACUACGUG
This 484-nucleotide ribosomal RNA is filed under the name uncultured bacterium. Its description in RNAcentral is "partial 16S ribosomal RNA". It matches the Rfam family "Bacterial small subunit ribosomal RNA", at positions 28 to 507 of the family's 1533-position model. The record is from RNAcentral.